AUUGGACAGUUUAGUUGAUAUUGAAUUUUCUUUUGUAACACAGAAAUUUAUAUAAAAUUAACUUGUUGAAACUCAACGCAUGUGUUUUUGUAUAUUCAUAGAAAAUAGUGCGGAGACAACUGUAUAAAGCAGGGUAGCGUCUAGUCGGUCACUUUAAGACAUUCUCUUUCUCAUAGUGCUUGCCACCCAGCUGUGAAGCAUGCCCGCGUACGCAGCUACUUUUUUUUUGUUUUUUGUUUUUGCUCUUCUGCCUACCCUUCUGAUAUAUUUUUAGACAAGUGCACACUAGACACACACUCACACAAACACACCCAAACACAUUGACACACCGUAAAUGAUGUCUGCAGAAAUAUGUACGUAUUUCUUUCUUGCUGUAGAUUUCGGCACCUUUUGGAUGGUUUGAGCUGCUAUAUAUAUGGAAGUAUAUAUCUCGAUAUGAAACCGCUUGGCUGCCAAUAACCGAUUUCAGACUGAAUGAUUUAUUGGCCUAUAAUGCGUUUCACAUUCGAACAGCCCUCUGCGCCUGCUCCGGACUCUGGUAGCACCCACUCUCUCCCUCUCUCCCUCUCUCUCUCUUCCUCUAUCUCUCCCCGUCUAUGUGGU
Long non-coding RNA from Drosophila mojavensis, 603 nucleotides. RefSeq lists it as uncharacterized. NCBI's taxonomy places the organism in Eukaryota, Metazoa, Arthropoda, Insecta, Diptera, Drosophilidae. The record is from RefSeq and is a predicted model, not a curated record. The transcript is spliced from 3 exons.